GACGAACGCUGGCGGCGUGCUUAACACAUGCAAGUCGAACGGAAAGGCUCCAGCUUGCUGGAGUACUCGAGUGGCGAACGGGUGAGUAACACGUGGGUAAUCUGCCCUGCACUCUGGGAUAAGCCUGGGAAACUGGGUCUAAUACUGGAUAUGACCUUUCUCCUUAUGGGGUUUGGUGGAAAGUUUUUCGGUGUAGGAUGAGCCCGCGGCCUAUCAGCUUGUUGGUGGGGUGAUGGCCUACCAAGGCGACGACGGGUAGCCGGCCUGAGAGGGUGAUCGGCCACAUUGGGACUGAGAUACGGCCCAGACUCCUACGGGAGGCAGCAGUGGGGAAUAUUGCACAAUGGGCGGAAGCCUGAUGCAGCGACGCCGCGUGAGGGAUGACGGCCUUCGGGUUGUAAACCUCUUUCAGCAGGGACGAAGCGCAAGUGACGGUACCUGCAGAAGAAGCACCGGCUAACUAUGUG
This 467-nucleotide ribosomal RNA is filed under the name uncultured bacterium. Its description in RNAcentral is "partial 16S ribosomal RNA". It matches the Rfam family "Bacterial small subunit ribosomal RNA", at positions 28 to 507 of the family's 1533-position model. The record is from RNAcentral.